CCCUUAGAUGUUCUGGGCCGCACGCGCGCUACACUGACAGAGCCAGCGAGUAUUUCACCUUGGCCGGAAGGUCUGGGUAAUCUUGUGAAACUCUGUCGUGCUGGGGAUAGAGCAUUGCAAUUAUUGCUCUUCAACGAGGAAUACCUAGUAAGCGCAAGUCAUCAGCUUGCGUUGAUUACGUCCCUGCCCUUGUACACACCGCCCGUCGCUACUACCGAUUGAAUGGCUUAGUGAGGUCUCCGGAUUGGCUUUGUGGAACCGGAAACGGUACUACGUUGCUGAGAAGCUGAUCAAACUUGGUCAUUUAGAGGAAGUAAAANUCGUAACA
This 328-nucleotide ribosomal RNA is filed under the name uncultured eukaryote. RNAcentral describes it as "partial 18S ribosomal RNA". It matches the Rfam family "Eukaryotic small subunit ribosomal RNA", at positions 1470 to 1796 of the family's 1831-position model. The record is from RNAcentral.